RNAcentral lists this ribosomal RNA (442 nucleotides) under uncultured bacterium. RNAcentral's name for it is "bacterial SSU rRNA". It matches the Rfam family "Bacterial small subunit ribosomal RNA", at positions 354 to 796 of the family's 1533-position model. The record is from RNAcentral.
GUAAGGAAUAUUGCUCAAUGGCCGAAAGGCUGAAGCAGCAACGCCGCGUGAAGGAUGAAGGGAUUUUUCUUGUAAACUUCUGUAAGAGGGGAAAAAUAUCCCGAUUUAUCGGGAUUGAUUGUACCUUCAGAGUAAGCCCCGGCUAACUACGUGCCAGCAGCCGCGGUAAUACGUAGGGGGCAAGCGUUGUCCGGAUUUACUGGGUGUAAAGGGUGCUCAGGCGGGUUUGUAAGUCAGAGGUGAAACUCCGAAGCUUAACUUCGGAACUGCCUUUGAUACUGCAUCCCUGGAGUUUGAGAGAGGCGAGUGGAAUAUCUGGUGUAGCAGUGAAAUGCGUAGAUAUCAGAUAGAACACCAAUGGCGAAGGCAGCUCGCUGGCUCAUAACUGACGCUAAAGCACGAAAGUGUGGGUAGCAAACAGGAUUAGAAACCCGAGUAGUCC